CGUCAAGUCAGUAUGGCCCUUACGGCCAGGGCUGCACACGUGCUACAAUGCCCAGUACAGUGGGAGGCGAAACCGCGAGGUGGAGCAAAUCCUCAAAACUGGGCCCAGUUCAGAUUGGAGUCUGCAACUCGACUCCAUGAAGCCGGAAUCGCUAGUAAUGGCGCAUCAGCUACGGCGCCGUGAAUACGUUCCCGGGCCUU
This 200-nucleotide ribosomal RNA is filed under the name uncultured organism. RNAcentral describes it as "partial small subunit ribosomal RNA". It matches the Rfam family "Bacterial small subunit ribosomal RNA", at positions 1183 to 1382 of the family's 1533-position model. The record is from RNAcentral.